This 471-nucleotide ribosomal RNA is filed under the name Tylopilus sultanii. RNAcentral's name for it is "eukaryotic LSU rRNA". The stretch from base 1 to 128 matches the Rfam family "5.8S ribosomal RNA", at positions 29 to 154 of the family's 154-position model. Lineage: Eukaryota; Fungi; Basidiomycota; Agaricomycetes; Boletales; Boletaceae. The record is from RNAcentral.
UGCAUCGAUGAAGAACGCAGCGAAUCGCGAUAAGUAAUGUGAAUUGCAGAUUUCCAGUGAAUCAUCGAAUCUUUGAAACGCACUUUGCGCUCCUUGGUACUCCGAGGAGCAUGCCUGUUUGAGUGUCAUUUUAUUCUCAACCAUGUCUUGAUUCAUUUCGAGCCAUGGCUUGGACUUGGGAGUCGUCGGCCCUCACAGGUCGACUCUCCUCAAAUGCAUUAGCGAAUGGACCAUCUCAGUGGGUCUGGCGGGCAAACAUAGCCUUUCGACGUGAUAACAUCGUAUAUCGGAGUCGAGGCGAAGCGCGUCGGGUGUAAGACAUGGUUUCUCUUCGCUUCCAAUCCCCAACCUGCUUAGUUAGUACUCGGUCGAGAGACCGCCGAACGCUCUCGCAGACCACUUUUGACCACUUUUGACCUCAAAUCAGGUAGGACUACCCGCUGAACUUAAGCAUAUCAAAGCGAGGAAAGA